GGAUGAUGAUGCAUCAUGUGGAACGGAGCGGAUCAGCAACCCUUGACUUGGGAAGAUGGGGAAGAUGUUGCAAUUAACUUUCUAAUUCAGGUUUAAUUACUACAUGGAAAGAAACGAUCAUACAUAGAGAUAUGAACGCGAAGAUAACGAACGAUCCCACAAAGAAUACAAAAUUAGGGCAAACACGGACCCCUGAACACACCAGAAGUGGGAUCAGACAAACACGGACCCCUGGACACACCAGAAGUGGGAUAAGACAAACACGGACCCCUGGACACACCAGAAGUGGGAUAAGACAAACACGGACCCUUGGACACACCAGAAGUGGGAUAAGACAAACACGGACCCCUGGACACACCAGAAGUGGGAUAAGACAAACACGGACCCCUGGACACACCAGAAGUGGGAUAAGACAAACACGGACCCUUGGACACACCAGAAGUGGGAUAAGACAAACACGGACCCCUGGACACACCAGAAGUGGGAUCAGGUGCUAGGGGAAUGAGUAUCCCUGUUGACUGGUCACACCCGUCUUAUAUUUUGAUCAGGUAAACGGAGUUAACCGUAGUCAAAAUUAGUAUGUAAAGAACGGCCUAUCAAUUGGUACGAAACAAGUCAGAAAGCAUUUGGUUUAUUUCUGAUUUGUAGAUUUUUUUGUAGUAUUCCUUUAUGCACUAUAAAGUACUUUGUUUAUGUUCUUAACAACAUACGGGUUUUUCUUUCUGUGAUUGAAUAAAGAAUUCUGAUCUUUGAAUUUUGUUACAAUAUUUAGAAAACCUUUAAUAAAAGAAAAUUUCGGUCA
This is a long non-coding RNA of Ostrea edulis (European flat oyster), 802 nucleotides long. RefSeq lists it as uncharacterized. The transcript is spliced from 2 exons. The record is from RefSeq and is a predicted model, not a curated record. Lineage: Eukaryota; Metazoa; Mollusca; Bivalvia; Ostreida; Ostreidae.